Molecule: unclassified non-coding RNA, 462 nt
Filed under: Hevea brasiliensis (rubber tree)
Lineage: Eukaryota; Viridiplantae; Streptophyta; Magnoliopsida; Malpighiales; Euphorbiaceae
Source: RNAcentral
AGUAUUGUUUCUAAAUUUACUUUUCUCUUGAACUUGUUCUGUGAUGAGGUAAGAGAACUAUGAUUACACUAAUUGAAUGUUCGUUUACAAUUUUUUCAUAUUAUUAUAAUGUUGAAAAGAAACAGUACGUGUAUCUUCAUUGCUGUGUUUAUUGGGUUUUCUAGUUCAUUUUGUUGUUCAAUUACAUACAUGGAUCAUUAUAAGUUAGGGUUUCCUGUACUUCUCUUUCAGCGAGUCGUGUCUUCUGGAUCUAUACGACCUCUUUUAUUGUUUGUGUGCUGAUAACAUGAUCUUCAUGACCUCUUUUAUUUAUUGGCUGAUGAUUGGUUGUCUUGUUUUGUACUUGUGCUUUACUAUUAUGAAUUUCACAUAAAAUUUCUGAUUUUUUUGGCAUAAUUGUCAAGUACCUCCUGAUGGUAUUUAAUCAUUUGUUGAGAUUGAUGAGUGGGGGAGGAAAUUUUA